UACGAAGGGGGCUAGCGUUGUUCGGAAUUACUGGGCGUAAAGCGCACGUAGGCGGACUUUUAAGUCAGGGGUGAAAUCCCGGGGCUCAACCUCGGAACUGCCUUUGAUACUGGAAGUCUUGAGUAUGGAAGAGGUAAGUGGAAUUGCGAGUGUAGAGGUGAAAUUCGUAGAUAUUCGCAGGAACACCAGUGGCGAAGGCGGCUUACUGGUCCGGUACUGACGCUGAGGUGCGAAAGCGUGGGGAGCAAACAGG
This 253-nucleotide ribosomal RNA is filed under the name uncultured bacterium. Its description in RNAcentral is "partial 16S ribosomal RNA". It matches the Rfam family "Bacterial small subunit ribosomal RNA", at positions 524 to 776 of the family's 1533-position model. The record is from RNAcentral.